CCUACGGGUGGCAGCAGUGGGGAAUAUUGGACAAUGGGGGGAACCCUGAUCCAGCCAUGCCGCGUGUGUGAAGAAGGCCCUCGGGUUGUAAAGCACUUUCAGUGAGGAAGAACGCCUGGUGGUUAAUACCCAUCAGGAAAGACAUCACUCACAGAAGAAGCACCGGCUAACUCCGUGCCAGCAGCCGCGGUAAUACGGAGGGUGCGAGCGUUAAUCGGAAUUACUGGGCGUAAAGCGCGCGUAGGUGGCUUGAUAAGCCGGUUGUGAAAGCCCCGGGCUCAACCUGAGAACGGCAUCCGGAACUGUCAAGCUAGAGUGCAGGAGAGGAAGGUAGAAUUCCCGGUGUAGAGGUGAAAUGCGUAGAGAUCGGGAGGAAUACCAGUGGCGAAGGCGGCCUUCUGGACUGACACUGACACUGAGGUGCGAAAGCGUGGGUAGCAAACAGGAUUAGAUACCCUUGUAGUC
RNAcentral lists this ribosomal RNA (465 nucleotides) under Vreelandella stevensii. RNAcentral's name for it is "partial 16S ribosomal RNA". It matches the Rfam family "Bacterial small subunit ribosomal RNA", at positions 338 to 795 of the family's 1533-position model. The record is from RNAcentral. Lineage: Bacteria; Pseudomonadati; Pseudomonadota; Gammaproteobacteria; Oceanospirillales; Halomonadaceae.